GCUCAAGUGGCGGAACUGGUAGACGCGCUGGAUUCAAAAUCCAGUGACUUCGGUCGUGUGGGUUCGAUUCCCACCUUGAGUACCA
Molecule: transfer RNA, 85 nt
Filed under: Flavobacteriaceae bacterium
Lineage: Bacteria; Pseudomonadati; Bacteroidota; Flavobacteriia; Flavobacteriales; Flavobacteriaceae
Description: tRNA-Leu
Rfam family: tRNA
About the family: Transfer RNA (tRNA) molecules are approximately 80 nucleotides in length. Their secondary structure includes four short double-helical elements and three loops (D, anti-codon, and T loops).
Source: RNAcentral